This 930-nucleotide ribosomal RNA is filed under the name Storeatula sp. CCMP1868. Its description in RNAcentral is "partial large subunit ribosomal RNA". It matches the Rfam family "Eukaryotic large subunit ribosomal RNA", at positions 94 to 964 of the family's 3401-position model. The record is from RNAcentral. Lineage: Eukaryota; Cryptophyceae; Pyrenomonadales; Pyrenomonadaceae.
UGAAGCGGGAAGAGCUCAAGCUGAAAAUCUUCGGAAUUGUAGUCUAUAGGUACGGACUCGUGUGGAGCCAGGUAUAAAUCCGUUCUUGGAAUUGGGUGCCAGAGAGGGUUAGAGCCCCGUCUUUGACUUGGUGAGCCAUGCGUGGCGAGUCUUUACUAGAGAGUCGGCUUGCUUGGGAAUGCAGGUCAAAAUGGGUGGUAAACUUCAUCUAAAGCUAAAUAUUGGCGAGAGACCGAUAGCGAACAAGUACUGUGAAGGAAAGAUGGAAAGAACUUUGAAAAGAGAGUGAAAAAGGGCUUGAAAUUGUUAAGAGGAGAAGUGAUUGGAGCAUAUCAUACCUUCUAGGAAAAAUAUCUGGGACUUGUCCUGGGAAUGAAUUUCUAGUCGGUUGGUCAGCAUCGGUUCAAGCUUGGGGAGAAUGCUUCUACUGCGGGACCUAGUCCUGUGGUAGUCGUGAAACCCGGGGUCGGACCGAGGCACAAAGAACGCGCAUAGCGGCCGGCUGCUAGCCCUUCUUCGUUGCGACGUAACACUCCUAGAGGGUUGCUCGUCUCGUUGUUGAUGCAAGGAGUGCAGGACUGCGUUCUGAAGAUGCUGGCACAAAUGGCUUCAAUCAGCCCGUCUUGAAACACGGACCAAGGAGUCUAACACAUAUGCAAGUAGUAAGGUGGCAAACCUUGGAUGCGCAAUGAAAGUAAACGUAGGUGGGAUUCGCAAGAUGCACCAUCGACCGACCAGGAUCAUCAGUGAAAGGUUUGAGUAAGAGCAUAUUUGUUGGGACCCGAAAGAUGGUGAACUAUGCCUGAAUAGGGUGAAGCCAGAGGAAACUCUGGUGGAGGCUCGUAGCGGUACUGACGUGCAAAUCGUUCGUCAAAUUUGGGUAUAGCGGCGAAAGACUAAUCGAACCAUCUAGUAGCUGGUUCCCUCCGA